UACGAAGGGGGCUAGCGUUGCUCGGAAUCACUGGGCGUAAAGCGCACGUAGGCGGCUUUUAAGUCAGGGGUGAAAUCCUGGAGCUCAACUCCAGAACUGCCUUUGAUACUGGGAAGCUCGAGUCCGGGAGAGGUGAGUGGAACUCCGAGUGUAGAGGUGAAAUUCGUAGAUAUUCGGAAGAACACCAGUGGCGAAGGCGGCUCACUGGCCCGGUACUGACGCUGAGGUGCGAAAGCGUGGGGAGCAAACAGG
This 252-nucleotide ribosomal RNA is filed under the name uncultured bacterium. Its description in RNAcentral is "partial 16S ribosomal RNA". It matches the Rfam family "Bacterial small subunit ribosomal RNA", at positions 524 to 776 of the family's 1533-position model. The record is from RNAcentral.